GUGCCAGCAGCCGCGGUAAUUCCAGCUCCAAUAGCGUAUAUUAAAGUUGUUGUGGUUAAAAAGCUCGUAGUUGAACCUUGGGCCUGGCUGGCCGGUCCGCCUCACCGCGUGCACUGGUCCGGCCGGGCCUUUCCCUCUGUGGAACCCCAUACCCUUCACUGGGCGUGGCGGGGAAACAGGACAUUUACUUUGAAAAAAUUAGAGUGCUCCAGGCAGGCCUAUGCUCGAAUACAUUAGCAUGGAAUAAUAAAAUAGGACGCGCGGUUCUAUUUUGUUGGUUUAUAGGACCGCCGUAAUGAUUAAUAGGGACAGUCGGGGGCAUCAGUAUUCAACUGUCAGAGGUGAAAUUCUUGGAUCAGUUGAAGACAAACUACUGCGAAAGCAUUUGCCAAGGAUGUUUUCAUUAAUCAGGAACGAAAGUUAGGGGAUCGAAGACGAUCAGAUACCGUCGUAGUCUUAACCAUAAACUAUGCCGACUAGGGAUCGGACGGUGUUAUUCAUGACCCGUUCGGCACCUUACGAGAAAUCAAAGUGCUUGGGCUCCAGGGGGAGUAUGGGUCGCAAGGCUGAAACUUAAAGAAAUUGACGGAAGGGCACCACCAGGGGUGGAGCCUGCGCCUUAAUUUGACUCAACACGGGGCAAACUCAUCAGGUCUCAGACACAAUAAGGAUUGACAGAUUGAGAGCUCUUUUCUUGAUUUUGUGGGUGGUGUGCAUGGCCGAUCUUAGUUGGUGGGGUGACUUUGUCUGCUUUAAUUGCGAUAACGAACGAGACCUUUAAAUCUGCUAAAUAGCCCGCAUUGGCUUCGGCAGU
RNAcentral lists this ribosomal RNA (814 nucleotides) under uncultured fungus. RNAcentral describes it as "SSU rRNA". It matches the Rfam family "Eukaryotic small subunit ribosomal RNA", at positions 564 to 1378 of the family's 1831-position model. Lineage: Eukaryota; Fungi. The record is from RNAcentral.